This 107-nucleotide small nuclear RNA is filed under the name Ovis aries (sheep). The record is from RNAcentral. Lineage: Eukaryota; Metazoa; Chordata; Mammalia; Artiodactyla; Bovidae.
GUGCUCGCUUCAGCAGCACAUAUACUAAAAUUGGAACGAUACAGAGAAGAUUAGCACGGCCCCUACGCAAGGAUGACACACAAAUUCGUGAAGCAUUCCAUAUUUUU